GGGAGGCCAGGGACAGGUAGCUGUCCUCGUUCAACCUGCUCUGAGUGGCUGGACCACGAGGAUUAAUUCUUAACCCAGCACGGAGAGGUGGCUGUUCCUCCAAAGGCAGGUGUCCCUUCUUGUUGCGACCACCUGGCACUUCAUUGAAUUUGACAACAGAAGGCGCUAGACGUGAAUACUUGAAGCCAGGUCGCGGUGACGCUUGGCUGAAAUCAAAGCCGAGCAUUCCGGAUUCAACACCUUCUAAGUGCUGUUACUGCCGCCGUCUGUGGCUGUUGUUCGUCGUCGGGCUUCAGGAAACCCAAGACGCCGUAGGUCCGAAGCCUGCAAACGUGGCCCACGGGCCAAAUCUGCCCUCCCUUGGUUUCCGUACACAACGCCGAACCGGAACAUGGGGCGCCUGUUUACUCAGCAUCCCUGGCCACUUCCAAACGACACUGCCGGCAGGGUGGAGUCGUGAUGGACACCCCGGGGCUCUCGGAGUCUCAAGUCGUUCCUCCCUGACCCUUUACGGGGAAAACCUGCUGACCGUACAAGGCACGCUAUCAUUUCAGACUAUGCCAGGAAAGAGAAGGAUCCCACCAGUGCAGCUAUGACACGCCGUCGGUGCCAGAUGGAUCCAAAGUUCAGG
Long non-coding RNA from Prionailurus viverrinus (fishing cat), 631 nucleotides. RefSeq lists it as uncharacterized. NCBI's taxonomy places the organism in Eukaryota, Metazoa, Chordata, Mammalia, Carnivora, Felidae. The record is from RefSeq and is a predicted model, not a curated record. The transcript is spliced from 3 exons.